CCUACGGUGUGCAGCAGUGAGGAAUAUUGGUCAAUGGCCGCAGGGCUGAACCAGCCAAGUCGCGUGAGGGAUGACGGUCCUAUGGAUUGUAAACCUCUUUUGUCAGGGAGCAAAGGGCGCCACGUGUGGCGUUUUGCGAGUACCUGAAGAAAAAGCAUCGGCUAACUCCGUGCCAGCAGCCGCGGUCAUACGGAGGAUGCGAGCGUUAUCGGGAUUUAGUGGGGUAAAAGGGUGGGCAGGGGGAAGGUCAAGUCAGCGGGAAAAUUUCGGGGUUCAACCCCGGCGUGCCGUUGAAACUGGCAUUCUUGAGUGAGGGAGAGGUAUGCGGAAUGCGGGGUGUAGCGGUGAAAUGCGUAGAUAUCACGCAGAACUCCGAUGGCGAAGGCAGCAUACCGGAGCGCAACUGACGCUCAUGCGCGAAAGCGUGGGUAGCGAACAGGAUUAGAUACCCCUGUAGUC
RNAcentral lists this ribosomal RNA (459 nucleotides) under uncultured bacterium. RNAcentral describes it as "partial 16S ribosomal RNA". It matches the Rfam family "Bacterial small subunit ribosomal RNA", at positions 338 to 795 of the family's 1533-position model. The record is from RNAcentral.